GCGGGUAUGGUAUAACGGCAUUAUGUAACCUUCCCAAGGUUGAGACACGGGUUCGACUCCCGUUACCCGCU
Molecule: transfer RNA, 71 nt
Filed under: Candidatus Wolfebacteria bacterium RIFCSPHIGHO2_01_FULL_48_22
Lineage: Bacteria; Candidatus Wolfeibacteriota
Also listed under: 1 other name
Description: tRNA-Gly
Rfam family: tRNA
About the family: Transfer RNA (tRNA) molecules are approximately 80 nucleotides in length. Their secondary structure includes four short double-helical elements and three loops (D, anti-codon, and T loops).
Source: RNAcentral